AGAAGGAGGCGUAUGAAGGUAGGCGCAUAAUUCAGAUAGAAAACCCACUUUUCUCCAGUCGUCUGGCUCUUUUAGACGGCAGCAGCCAAUCGGAAGAAGGGGUGUAUUUUGAAGGAGAGAGGUGACCGACUAGUAAGUGUAAGCGGCGUGAGCAUGAAUUACAGGGAAUUACAGAGGCCCUUCCUCCUAGAAAUAGGUGUGAGGCAAAUAUUAAACAUGUUCUUAGCUGGACCAUUUUCCUCUGAGUUUUGCAUUUCUUUUCUCAUGAAUUUGUCAGCGAAAGAUUUAAUCAUUGUGUAACUUUGAACAAUGUAGCAAUUAUAACUUUGAACUGUUUCUCAUGUAAAUUAGCUAAGAAAGGAAACUGCGGGGGGGGGGGGGGGGAAGGAUAGACUGACCUUCAGACUUCCUGUGUGACCCUGGGCAAGCCUUUGCACCUCUCCCUCAGUGGGAGGAAAAGCAAUACCUUUCUGCAGCGCUGUGGAAUUAGAUAAGACGGUGAAACAAAAGGAAGGUCUGGAUCAGACUAGGGUCUGAUUUCUAGCGUGGAAAAGUUAGUCCCUGGGUUACGCCUAUUAGGAGAAGUGGGUAUUUUUAAGAAGCUGAGGUCUAGUCCAGAUUAGCGCCAUAUCUCUGCGGAAGAUACCAAGGAUCUAGCUGGGCCCAUAGUAGCCCAGAUCAGGGGGAGGCGACUGGGGAGGCCCUAACUAUAAGCUGCUGGAGGGCCUCUAUACGCAUUCUGAUGGGUGUGGGGGAUGAUCAUCUAAUACAUCCCUGCUGACCUCCUCCCUGUUCUAAGAACAGUUGAGAAAAAAGACCAGACAGGUGAACACAAAACCUCAGCUUGAUUACCGGUAAUGCAAAAGUAAGAAUGGGUACGCCUGGGUGGCUCAGUCCAUUAAGCAACUAACUCUUGAUUUCGGCUCAGGUCAUGCUCUCACAGUCGGGGGGAAUCAAACCUCCUGGGCUGAAAGCCCGGACCCUGCUUGGGGUUCUCUCUCUCUCUCUCUCUCUCUCAAAAAAAAAACUAAAUAAAAUAAAAUAUUAAAAAUGGGGCUUGAGUUAUAGCCACACAUGGCCCCUAAUAUGUCCCUCCGAUACUCCAGAGCCAAAGGACACCCAGCAUAGGGAGAAAACAAUGGGAUAUCCUGAGGACAGGAGCCCUUGGGACUGAGCCCAGGCAGGGAAGGAUUAAGAGGUAGAGCAAAAGGCAGGAGUCUCCCUUCCAGGGAGGGCAGCAGGAUUCACUCCCUGGGGCCAGUUCCCCUAACAUAAAUAUUGGCUCUUUUGAAGCAGAGUUCAUUUAGUGCACAACUUGACUGUAUACAAGAAGCCAUGCUCAGCCUUGCAGUUGGUAGAUGGUGUUAAUCGGUGGAGAAGACAGACCCGUGCAGGCGAACAGCUUGGCCAAAGUGGCACAGACACAGGUCUGGGAGCUGGAGGGAUUCACCUGUGGCUGCAGUAGCCGAGGAUGCCUGUGGUGAGACAGUUCUCCCAACCCCCUGACUCUUAAAAGACAAAGAGACUGUCUAAGGCCACAGAGAUUGGAAAACACCUUGACCUCUCCAGUUUAGUAGUAUGGCUAUCGCCUCCCCGAGGCACACACCGGAGAUACCAGAGGACUGAGACAAGAAAGGAUGCAGAGAGAGGGAGGUGGAAAGCCCCAGCUACUCCGUCUUUUUCUCUGUUGAUUGAAGGUCCUCGGUCUGGGGCUGCUCCGCCCUCUGAGUUGUUCUUUUUCUGUCCACAGAGGGUGUCACUAGGGGUGUUCUACUGCUUGGCAUGGAGCUUUCACAGCUUCUCCCCACACCACUAGAAGAAAGAUAAGGGUCUUUUUUUGCCUUUGCAGAGAUGGAAGGCACAGCAGAAAGAAAAGAAUUCAGAGACAAGUGACCUGAGUUCAAGUCUGCCCUCGGGUUGAGUUACCCUGAGCAAGCCAUUUAUCCUCUCUUUGUGUCUGAGCAAAUGAGAAAAAUAAUAACAUGGACUUCAGGGCUGAGUGAGAAUUUAAUGAGAUUGUGUUUAUGAACACAAUGAGAAUUUAAUGAGAUAGUGUUUAUGAUCAUUUCUUCAUAAACUAGAAAUAAUCAGGAAAUUCUUCUCCUUCUCCUCCUUCUCCUUCUCCUUCUCCUUCUCCUUCUCCUUCUCCUUCUCCUUCUCCUUCUCCUUCUCCUUCUUCUUCUUCUUCUUUUAUUAAAGCAUUGCUGUGCUCUGUGCCCACUGCCUGGAGAUCUGUCCCUGAUACCAAAGCUGCCUUCCUAACUAGCUGGGGCUCUGGGGAGAUGCUGAAGCCCAGUGACCUAGGAAUAACAAGACAACUGAAACCCCAGCUGGGGAUUCCUCCUGGAGUUACAUGGGCCACUUAGGCCUCGGGGCACACAAGGACAACAAGGACGUGUAUGUGUGCGUGUGCACAGAGAUCGCAUAAACUGCACACAGUACCCGGAAAACACGCACCUACGUAAACACAAACAUAUCGGCAUGGUGUGCCUGGCAUGUAACACAGAAUAAAUGCCUAACAGAUGCGUAAUAACCGGGAGUGAGCUCGCGUAAAGGAAGAAGCACUAGGCAAGAGAUCUAGUCUAAAGUUCCUUUGCUGACCAACUAGCCAUACAACCUCACUGAAGUCCCUUGCCCUCUCAGUUCCUUCUUUCUCAUCUGUGAAAUAGUGAUAAAACAUUUGUCCUGCCUGCCUCACAAAACUACUGUAAGAAUAAAAUAAAUGAUUUUCCCUUAGGACGCACAAGUCCAAAGUCCUAUUUUUAUAAUUCCAAGCCCUCAGCCACGUGUAAUGAACUUCUUAAGCAGUUUUUAUGGAUGUGUAGAAGCACUUCAAAAGUUAAAGCUCUAUGCAGAUAGAAAGCACUAUUUUUGUCUAUUAUUGACAUACAGACAUAUGCCAUGUGAUAUUGUACAAUUUAAAGACCUCAUUGAGGGGCGCCUGGGUGGCGCAGUCGGUUAAGCGUCUGACUUCAGCCAGGUCACGAUCUCGCGGUCGAUCUCGCGGUCCGUGAGUUCGAGCCCCGCGUCAGGCUCUGGGCUGAUGGCUCAGAGCCUGGAGCCUGUUUCCGAUUCUGUGUCUCCCUCUCUCUCUGCCCCUCCCCCAUUCAUGCUCUGUCUCUCUCUCUCUCCCAAAAAAAAUAAAUAAACGUUAAAGACCUCAUUGCAUAGAGUCAGAUUAAUUAUAAUCCUUGAUUCACAACACAGCCCCAACAUUGGAUCAUUGGUCCAGGUAUCUCCGCUUUUAUUUGGUUAUUCAUUAUUUUUAACAACGCAAGAGUCUCCUGUGAAUCUCCUGCCCAAAAUAAAAACGAGGGCUUUGACAAUGAAAUAACUAGGUGGUUUCUCCAUCCCCAUACCACCCCACCUCUGUUUCCACCGUCAAAGAGAACCAUUAUCUAGAAUCCCGUGUUCACCAUUCCCUUGUUUUCCUCAGUUUUCUCUUGCUUUCCAUAAUUUUAUUUCAUAAGGUAUAAGUGUCUGACCUUCAUAAAAGAAAAAAAACUAAUAGUGUCUUAAAAGGGAGGUGGAUAAGAAUGACAUUAUUAACAAGAUGAGGUUAAAAUAAACAUCUGGUGAUGGGUUUCAAAGUAUUCUCCACAUUCUCAUGGAGAUGAUGAUGAUGAUGGUGAUGGUAAUGGUGAUGAUUGGGUGCUUACUCUGUGCAUCAUCUUACUUACAUCUCAUAAAGAUCUGUGGCAGAUUGCUAGGUAUUUGAGCCAAUACCCAUUUCCCCCUCUUUAAUAGUAAAGACCUUCCAAUGUUUGGCUAAGCACAUGACUUCCUGGACUAAAAAUUACAUUUCCCGGCCUCCAUUACAGCUGGUUGUGUUCAUGAGAUUAAGUUCUAGCCAAUGACUUGUAAAUGGAAGGGGUUGAAAGGUAGAGGUAGUCCUUCUCCUUCUCCUCCUCUUUUCUCUUCCCCAAUGGCUGGAGUGAAAAUUUAAUGGCUGGAGCUUGAGGAGCCAUCUUGGAUCAUGAAAUAGAGGCCAUAGGUUGAGGAUGACAGAACGAAAGGAUAAAAGCAGCAUAUGUCCUGGGAAGCAAGCAUCCAUCAUAUCAACCCUGACACACUUACCGAGACUUUUAUAUAAAAGAGUAAUAAAUGUCCUUCUUGUUAUAGUAACUGAUAUACCAGGUUUUCUAUCACUCCCAAACUUAACUCUUACUUAUCCUACCUAUUAUAUAGCCUUAUGGGGUAUGUACUGUUAUCCUCAUUUAUUUAUUUUUUAGGAAAGGAAACUGAGUCCUAGAGAAAUUAAUAACUUUCCUAGGGUGACAGAGUUAGCAAAGGACAGAACCCAGUUCUUUGUGACCCAAAGUCCAUGAUCAUGGCCCCCAGUCUAAACCCUGAGCAGACAUAUACCCACAAAUCCUUCUUGAUGUCAGAAAGAUAGUAUAUGCCAUUUCUGGGCAGGAAUGGCCCAAAGAGCUAUGGGCUAUAGUUUCCAUUUUCAGAUAUACUUUAAAUCUCCCACAUUUCAAUUUCCUUCAACCUUCUAGUAUAGGUCUAUGUUAAUUUGCAUAGCUUGGUUAUAUUAUGGGAUAAAUAUGACUCCACAGUGAACUCUCUUCUCCAAGCUUCCCCUACCCGGCCUUCACACCAUCAGAGAGUAAACAUCUCCUAUUUUAUUAUGCUGUGACAUUAUGACUGGAUGACAGAGGGUAGGGAUCUAUGGAGGUGAAUUUCUUGAAAAUUUUCAGAUAGCAUGCUCUUGAUGAGACAGAAUCAUCCACUGGCUGUUGGAUACCCAUAGGCACACAUAUAAAGUAGACUUUGUAUCUAAUGCUAGCAUGGCAAAAAGCAGAACAUUGAAGAAAGGGAGCGUGAUUCACAGGAAAAGAUCUGUCCACUGAAAACUCACCGUUGGGAAGGAAAAUGAUUUUGGGACCAGGGAGAGAUAAGCAGUCUUCAUGUCAUAGGCUAGUAAUUCUUUGGUAAAAUGAGGGUCUUCAAUGUCUUCAAGGAUAACAGAUACAGAAGAACCAUUAGUUACAAAAAUUUCUGAAAUCUCUGAAAGUGCUAAGAGCUGGCCCACAGCAAGAAAUUCUACCCAAAGCAAAUGCUGCCGACAAUGCCCUACUUGAGGGCUUCCCAGAGGGGAAGAAAUGCUCUGCUCCCCCACCCCCCGAUGCCUUUGUCUGUACCCCAACCUUUGAGGGUUUAAUGCCAUAGCAGGGAGCAGCUGGACUAGAGGGGAAGAAUGGGAAUGGAAAGAGAAAGAAGGAAGUACCCAGAGGGGAAUGGAAACUUAGCCUCUGCCCAUCAACAAACAUAACAUGUCUAAAGGGACCACAAAUGAGGCUAAUCAGGACUACAAGAUGCCUGAUUAUAAAUUCUGCAGGUUAGUAUGGGAAAUGGAGGGAAAAGAGGUAAAUAUUCUACCACAUUCAAAAUGGCACUAGGCUGUGGUCCCUGUCCCUGUAGUCAGUCUUGCCCCUUCAAACUACCCUGUAUUGAGCAUGUCAGUUACAACUCAGAUGAGCAUUCAGCCUGGAGAGUGAACUGGGGAAGGGAGAAAGGAAAAGGGGACAUCCAGGGACACAACCAGAGUGUGUCAACCCAGGAGGUCAUUUCAUCUUUUCCUGGUAAUCUUGUGUCCCCAGGUUUUUGGUUUUUUGGGUUUUUUUUGCUCCCUCCAUCACUUAAGAAAAGCAUACAGAGAGGCGCCUGGAUGGCCCAGUUGCUUGAGUGUCUGACUCUUGAUUUUGGCUCAGGUUAAGAUUUCACCGUUCGUGGGAUUGAGCCCUGUGUCAGGCUCCACACUGGCAGCUUGGAGCCUGCUUUAGAUUCUCUCUCUCUCUGUCUCUUUCUCUGUCUCUUUCUCUCUCUCAAAAAUAAAUAAGUAAACAUUAAAAAAAAACAAGAAAAGUAAAGUGGGAAGGUAGGAAAGGGGGAGAAGAGGUGUGCUAGCGUGUGUGUGGAAUGUCUAGUGGUUUCCUAAGGGUAUGAUGAUAUUAGCUUCACAUGAGAAGGUAAUUUUCAGGCAGUAGAGCAUGGGGGAAUCAAAUUCUGAGUUCAACUCCCAUCUCCACCACUUACCACUUGCCAUAUUAACCACACCUCAGAACGCACUUUUUAUAAUGAAGGGGGUGAUAAUUCCCUAACUUAAAUACACAUGAAACAUUAUGAACUGUUACCCACACAUAGUAACUGACCUCUAUAAACGUGAGCCGUGAUACUGCAGUAGAUAUUCUCGUGCCAAUUAUCUCCUUCCAUCCUCUCAACAAGGCUGUGAGUAGUAGUAUUUCUGCCAUUUGGAUCACGGAAACCACCGAGGCCCAGAAAGGUUAAAUACCUGGCCGAAGUCAUCACGCUGGAGUGGGAAGAGCCAGACUUCAGACUCAUGCUGUUCCCACAUAUGUCAAAGUCUGUGGUCCUAAAUGCUCUUGUAAGUGGUCCAGCUACCUGACACCUGCCAGGCCUCUCUGGGGAUGCCAUCUCAGCCCGUGUGCAUGGUUCAGGAGAAGGAAACACACUCUGCGGCCUGCAGUUUACUCUGAUUCCAAAGAUUCUCCCUCUAGGAGAGGUAAAGGCAUUGAGUAAAGUCAAUGAAGCAUUAAUGAGUUUGGGAUCCUAGCACGUAUAAGCUUUUGAGGGAGGACCUAAAUAUGUGAGGUAUAUGUAGUACAUAUACUAUGUUUUGUUUUGGUUUUGCUCAUUUCAUGACAGAGGUAGGAGCUAAUUUUUUCCCCACCUAUCUUCUUAGGCUAUGAAAGCUGUAAUACUGUGGAGAUGAAAAGGACAUAUGGCAAUCACCUCAUUUGUCUCCUUCCUCCAAAGACCACAACUAUAGCACCAUAUAGGUAGGUAGGUGUGUGACCCUAAAAACCUCACACUCUCAGGACUUCCGGUGCCUCGUUAUAACACGAGGGUAAGUUUUUCCUUUUGUGUGACCCGUGUAGCACAUGUUGCAGGCAAGUCCCUGUCACUCCUGGAUGCUCACUCGCUGAUGCUGGCAAGGGUCUCCCCACGGUGCUGGAAAGAUAGCUAGAGCCCCGCCC
RNAcentral lists this long non-coding RNA (7004 nucleotides) under Lynx pardinus (Iberian lynx). The record is from RNAcentral. Lineage: Eukaryota; Metazoa; Chordata; Mammalia; Carnivora; Felidae.